This 73-nucleotide transfer RNA is filed under the name Paramuricea clavata. It matches the Rfam family "tRNA". From Rfam's summary of the family: Transfer RNA (tRNA) molecules are approximately 80 nucleotides in length. Their secondary structure includes four short double-helical elements and three loops (D, anti-codon, and T loops). The record is from Rfam by way of RNAcentral. Lineage: Eukaryota; Metazoa; Cnidaria; Anthozoa; Malacalcyonacea; Plexauridae.
GACCGCGUAGCUCAGUUGGCAGAGCAUUGGGCUAGUAUUCCAAAGGUCGUAGGUUCGAUUCCCACAGUGGUCA